AGCUUCGUGGUGUAAUGCACAUUAGAUUGCAAGUCUAAAAGUGUAGGCUAAUUGCCUGCCGGGGCUU
Molecule: transfer RNA, 67 nt
Filed under: Knodus borki
Lineage: Eukaryota; Metazoa; Chordata; Actinopteri; Characiformes; Stevardiidae
Description: tRNA-Cys
Rfam family: tRNA
About the family: Transfer RNA (tRNA) molecules are approximately 80 nucleotides in length. Their secondary structure includes four short double-helical elements and three loops (D, anti-codon, and T loops). Further hydrogen bonds mediate the characteristic L-shaped molecular structure. tRNAs have two regions of fundamental functional importance: the anti-codon, which is responsible for specific mRNA codon recognition, and the 3' end, to which the tRNAs corresponding amino acid is attached (by aminoacyl-tRNA synthetases). tRNAs cope with the degeneracy of the genetic code in two manners: having more than one tRNA (with a specific anti-codon) for a particular amino acid; and 'wobble' base-pairing, i.e. permitting non-standard base-pairing at the 3rd anti-codon position.
Source: RNAcentral